This 4294-nucleotide non-coding RNA is filed under the name Pongo abelii (Sumatran orangutan). Lineage: Eukaryota; Metazoa; Chordata; Mammalia; Primates; Hominidae. The record is from RNAcentral.
GAUUGGCUACCUCCUCAUAACCAUAAGAUAAUUAAAACUUGGCGGGGGGGGGGGCAGGGUUAAAAAAACUUUUUUUUUUUAAUCAGUCAGAGGAUAAUGCAAGUGUUUAACAGAUGCUUCACUAUUAAAAUAUUUUCCCCCCAAGUCUCAAAUAUUGAAGAAUCUCUAACCAGGGACACCAGUCCCAACGAAGACCUUGGGCGAUUUCAAAGUGCGGGCACCUCGAUUCCCCGAAUCUGUAGUGUGGCUGGUAUCGGUGUUUCCCUGGUUUAACUAGCCUGCUUGAAGGCGCAGAUCAUUCAUGGGGAAGUAAAACCGAAACCAGUCCUCUCCACCCCCUGCGGGUCUUCACUUUCCCAGUCUACAUCUGCCUGUGACUCCAGAAAGACAAACUGCAGAUUGGCCAAGCUGCCUGAAGAUCCAGCCCGACAGCGAUGCCUGCCAGCCCGCGUCGCCCACCAGGGCAGCUGCUCUCCCGACUCGCAUGGGGGGCACCACCCCGCCUCGGUGCCCUGGAGCUGAGCGCAGCCGCGGCUCCACGGGGAUCGCCAGGGCCUCAACCCUCGCGGCCGGCGGCGCGCGAGUGUUGCGGGGCAGGGACCAGAGUGCGACCAGAGCGGCCACCCCCGAUUUAGGUCGCCAGCUUUCCAAUCACUGCGAUGGCCACUGGGGCGCCCCUUCCAUCCUGGUUAAAUUAUCAUUGUGAUCCCCAGCCCCCUUCUCGGUUCCCAACACCCAGGAGGCCGGUUCUCCGCCGCUCAGGCCGGGAGAGGUCACAGCUCCGGGCAGGGUGGACCCCCAGCUCCGUCUCGGAGGGCCUUUCGCCGGAGGCGAGCAGGAAGGGGUUAACCAUGAGCCUCCCACCCUCACCUCCCAGCCCCUGGUGCCGGGCGAGCGAAGGCCUCCGCUUCCCUCCUGAGGUCUCAUUAGGAAACCCUCACCGCUAUUUUCAACAUUUCCUCAAUCAAGUGCCUUUAAAUAGAGCUGCACAAACAGAUUGGCGGCAAAAGCGUAGAUCUUGUCACGAUUGAGACCAAUCCAAUAUUUCGGCCUUGUUUGCUUUGCAAUUACGGGUUGGCUUGUGGCUGCGGUGCCACCGGGGCAAAUCUGCAGCCGCUCGCUUUCUCCUCUGCACUCCGGGCGGGUGGAGGAAGCGACCCGCGGAGUCACUGCAGGGAGGAGAGGGGGACGCGCGUGGGGGGAGGCGGCGGAGGGCGGAGGAGCCUCGCUUGCACCCCAGGGCCUCUGGCACGCAGAGCUGUGUUGAAGGACAUACUUUUCAGGUUCCUGACAGUCACUGAGCUAUACGCAAUAAUAAAAUGCGUGAUUCGCGUGUGGAAACCAGUGUCGUGUCCUUACCAGCUUCCUUUUCUGCCCACCUUCCCUCUCUCUUCUACCUCCGUUUCGCUUUUCUUCAGUGUAUGUUAGCGGUUUGCUGGAUUUUCCUUCUCCCUCGCUGUUCAACUGCUAGCAUGAUUUGUUACAUUUUCCACAGCUGUUUAUUCUUGUUUGACUUUUUGUACAAAGUCACUUUAAAUCUGCUGCAGAAAGAAUAAAGCUCCUAGCCCUUUGGAUGGGCUCCUGCAGGCGUGUGGCUGUCCCUGGCCCACUUUUAAUUCUUUGAAAAUGGCUCUUCUGUGUAAAUCAGCUGCUGGGUGCGUUCGGUCACCUCGUAGGCCAGCCUAGUUUGUGUCAGCAGAACAGUAGUGAACUCAAAUCAGGUCGUAAGCCUUAUAUUUCACAGACAAUUAAAUCUUGGCUGCUGUUGAACAAAACUGUAAUAUUUACUCUGCUCUAUACCGAGGAGCACUUUUAAAGUAAAAAAGAAAAAAAACAAAACAAAUACUACACUUCAAAAAGAAAAUAUGACAAUGAAUCUCUUUUUAUGGAUUCUCUCUGCGUAAGUGGAAACAAUAUGAUUUAAAUCCCCAACACCCCAUCCCCCUUUUCAGACACAGCUGAAGUGAUACAGAUACUGUCUUCUAAUACAUAAUCUCCCUCUCUCGGGAGAGGCACCUACCUGUGCUACAUUCGAUUUAGUUUGUAAGGUUUCAGGCCCCUCCCCGACCCACGUAAUAUGUAACAAGGAUUAUCAAAUAAUAAGGUCUUGGAUGUGAAGUCUGCUUUACACAAGAAUUCAAGAAAGAUAGGCAGGCUUGAGUAAUUAUGUUACAACUUCUUAUUACUUUCCAAAUGAAUACCCAUUUUCUUCUCAUGUCAACUCCUAGAGAUGGGAUGCUGAGGCAGAGAAAUUUUUUAUGAGACUCUGGAGUACAUAUUAAAAUGUGCUUCCUUAUUAUUUAAGAAUGUGUAAGGUAUGGACCUACAUUUGUUUGCUGGUGGUCAUAAAAUAAAUUCAUAACCAUUGUUGGCCAAUAAGCAAUCUCCUUCACGCUUUAAAAGUUUUUGGUUUAUAAUCCCACCUGGAUUGUAUUUUCACGAUUCUGUAUCACUCUCCUAUUGCAAUAUUUUGGUUCUCAAUCUUAUGUAAAGCAAACCUCAGAAAUGAUCGUUUCCAUAAAAUUGUGCAAUGGCAAAGCCACGGAAUAAUAUUUUGAGUCCAUAUAGCCAUGCAUGCUCACGUAUAUAGCUCUUAUACAGUUUUCUAGCUAACCGAUUGCUUUGGUAUUUCAAGAAAUAGGAAGCAGUAGCUACCUAUUUGAAUGAAAGGAUACCAUUUCAUAAGAAUUCUAUUUUCACUGAAAAAAUUGGUCUGGCACAUUAUUCAAUGCAAAAGAUUAUAAUAUUACUUUCACGUGUGUUAAUCUGUUUAGCAUAAAACUGCUAGGGUGUCUUAACCAUUAACGUGUUUUGCCACACCACUUUCAAAUGGUGAUCUGAGAUAAUUACAAAGAUUUUGAUGUUAAUCCCACGUUAAAUGAACAACUAUGAAAAUAAUCUUAAAGCAUUAUUAUUCCCAUAUAAAUGCCAGCAAACCCAAUUGUGGAGAGAAUAUGAUUACUUUUUAUCUGACAUUAUCCUAUAAGGAUAUGGCUACAUUUAUUUCUUUUAAAAUUGGAGCAGUUUUAAAUUACUUUUUAACAGAAUUGUUUUCAACACAGCAUUUUCAGUGCCCAUAAACCAUAGCAACUUUGUACUGAUCGAUACAUAUUUUUCUACAUUAUUAUUCGUUAGCCUCUUUGCAAACUCACUAAAAUAGAAUAGUAUUAAAAUACGAACAUAUAGAGAACAAUUAUUAGGUUCUACAUAUUUAUUUAGGUAAACCAAUGUUAUUAAAAUUAAAAACAUGUGCCUGGCAUAUAAGUGCUUCUUUAGGAAUUCUUUUUUGGAUGCAUAGUUAUUAUUUUUUAAACAAACUCAGAUUUUCAAACUCUGAUUUUCUUCUCUGAACAGGCAUUGCAUUGUUUUAAACAGUAGCUCCUGGAAUAAUGCCACCUUUAGUAUUUUAGACUUUCAAACAACAAUUGGAAUUGGAUAAAUGCUUUCAGCUGAGAGCACUUUCUUAAUACCUUUGUAGGUAAUGGGAUUCUCUAUUUGUGCUGGGUGACAAACGGACAGUGCCCUGGACAGACUGCCUACCCUCUGCAGAAUCUACCAAAAAGUAGAGUUUUCCCAUGAGCUCACUGCUUGUGGUCCAUGUAAAAAUGAAAAAAAAAAAAAAUCAGAGAAAACGAGCAAGGCCUUUUCUAACUACAGUUAUGAAAUGAUGGCUUAAAGAGGUAUUUAGAAAAUAAGAGUGGAAUAAUACAGAAACAAAAUCUGAAAAAGAAAGUUUGCUUAGGAGCUGAUGCUCUUUGUCUACAAACAAGAGGGUAAGGAGCUGGAUCCAACUGAAUUGAAUUGUUUUUGUUUGCUUGUUUGUUUUCUUCCAUUCAGUGCCUUUCAAAUUGUUUUUUACUGGAUGAAGAAACUCAACCAAGAAAAUAUAUGUCAAUUCUUGUAUAUGGGACAAUAUUAGCUGCUGUGAUUUUUAAUACUAGCAUAAAAUAUAAGAAUGUUUUUAUUACUGUGACAUUGUUUUUUUCUAAAUGAAUGCAUAGUGUAACAAUUGGUGUCAAAAAGCAUUGAAUUUUUUUCAAAUGGAUUAAGCUGGAAUAAUAAAGUGUAUCUAUGAGAUGAUUUCUGUAAACUCUGACUUGCUGAGAAAAAAGUGAAAAAGCUUUUUCUGGAAGAAACAUGGCAACUUAACCAUUAUUAAUCUGGACUAAAUAAAACAGGAAACUGCUUCUUUACAUUUCUAGUAAUUUUUUCUGCUUUUCCAAACAUUGUUAAGUUCUAUGCAACUUGUGCUACUCAAGUAAAGAUGAUGUCAGUAAUAAAAUUACAGAAUCUA